UGCCUUUAAAAGUCCCAUAAUGCAACUCUCCCUCUCUGCUUAGUUCUGUGGGUCUGCCUCCGAGUUUCUGCAUCUGGUCUUUCGCCUCUGCUCCGUGUGGGAGAUGGACGUGUCGGUGUUGGCUCGUUCGUCGCUAGAAGGUCGGACUUUUGAAUCACCUGGUUGACUAGGAUGACUUUUUGCCUUCAAGAAUGGACUUGUAACGGUAAUUACACCUGGUUAAAAAACCUGGUUAGAAUGGGAAGUCCUUCAUAAAUCCACAGCAGGUGCUGAGAAUGAAAUGUGGACUGUGGAAAUGACAGUAGGCCUGCCAUGUCGCAUGUAGCUAGGUGCAGCUGUCUUAGAACCCUGAUGGACACAUCUAAUGCUGUGGCGUUCUGCAUUUGAUAGAUUGAGUAAAUUUGUUUAGCCUUAGUCUUUUUACAGAUCUUGUCUGUAAAAUGGAGCAUGUCGGUUCCGACUGAUUUGCCAAAUUGUCUCUGUACAAGUGCAGAUUAAUGUAUAGGCUGUGACAUACGGUCCCAAUGCCUUUUCUCAGGUACAUGUAAGCAUAUUAAAACUUCUUUAAAAUGA
Molecule: long non-coding RNA, 573 nt
Organism: Pygocentrus nattereri (red-bellied piranha)
Lineage: Eukaryota; Metazoa; Chordata; Actinopteri; Characiformes; Serrasalmidae
Exons: 4
Source: RefSeq, a predicted model, not a curated record